Long non-coding RNA from Equus caballus (horse), 4829 nucleotides. The record is from Ensembl. Lineage: Eukaryota; Metazoa; Chordata; Mammalia; Perissodactyla; Equidae.
CGCCCUCAGGCCUUCCGCUUCUGUCCGCCGGGGACCCGGGAAUCGGCAUUUUAAGGGUUCCCCGGCGGCGACCCUCUAAAGCUUCCAUCCCUACCCGCGGGCCGGCCGUGUAACUCGCUCGGCCCUCGCCGCCCGGAGAGGUACGUGGGAGCCGGCUGGGCCCGGGUCCAGAAAAUGGCCGCGAGGACACAGGACGAGCCCGAAGGCCCGCAGCGGCGCGCGGCCCGCCCCCCCGCACGGCGGCCCGUCUCACCGGAGCGGCUUCUUGGAGAGCGGGCACACCAGGAACUCCAGCAGCGCCGGGUCGAAGGCGCGGGCCGGCCCCUCCGGGUCCUCGCUUUUGUCUGCCAACGGCCGCGCCCCGGACGCGUGCAGCCGCCUCUGGGCGGUUGCGGCCGGCGGCGCGCGCGUCCCCCGCAGCGACGAGGCAAGCCGGCCGCACGCUCCCCUCAGCAUGGUCCGCGCCCGCGCCCGCCGCCCCGCUUCGCCCGCAGCCGCCCCACCGCUCCCCGCGGCCCGCCCCGCCGGCCAGGCCGCGCCCCCGGUGCUCGGGAAACGCAGUCCCGCGGGGCGGGCUCUAGCGCUUUGGUUCCGAGGGCCCUCCCGCCCGGAGUGGUUUUCCCGCCGCCCGGAGUGGUUUUCCCGCCGCCCGGCUCUCUAGUUCCGAGGCUUCCGGGGGCUGUUUACCGGCUUUACAAAUUAGAAACAAAACCGAUGCCUAAAUCGGGGCGUCCUCAGUUUUCUCCAGGACCUGUCGCAGGGCUGCGGGGAAGCCAGUGGGCGGUCCUCACAGUCACCCGGUGUGAGACUUGGACCUACGUGUUAUCUCCAAAAUGAGGUUUCAAACGCAGCCGGAGCGGGUGUGCAGAAGCAGUGAUUUGCCUUUGUAAAUCUUUACUGUACCACAGGUCGUGUAACCUUGUUUGGCGCUUUUUUUCCUUUAUUUAAAAACUUGUAAGAACAAGGGGCCCGCCGAGUGGUUAAGUUCCCGCGCUCGCUUCCGCGGCCCAGGGUUGCGCCGGUUGAGAUCCUGGGCGCGGACGUGGCGCCGCUCCUCAGGCCACGCUGAGGCGGGGUCCCACAUGCCACAACUAGAAGGACCCACAACUAAAUAUACAACUGGACUGGGGGGCUUUGGGGAGAGAAGAAGGGAGAAAAAGAUUGGCAGCAGAUGUUAGUUCAGGUGCCAAUACUAAAAAAAAAAAAAAAAAAAAGAUGUAAGAACCUGAAGAGAAUGGCUUAGGCCCCUUAAACACCAAGACGUCCAGAUUCUUGCCCUGCGGGACUCAUUGUCAGUUCAGUUGCAUGAAAAAGCACAACUAAUGCAGUUCUAUUAAUGAGCUUGGAGACUAAUGGGGCAGGUGUCCAUUAGUGAAGUAGGCUAGCCGGUCAUUGGGUUUCCGCCCCUUGUUUGCCUCUGACUCUCCGAGGAAGGGAUGCGGGUUUGGUCCCUUUCUUACCUUGUAGUGGACAAGGGCCUGGGCGCUCGGCGCUGACCGCCUGGUUCCCGGUGCAUAGUUUACCAGCUGUAGGACGCCUGCAAAUGACUUAACUACCCCCUUUCCUGAUCUGUAUGAUAAGAUCAUAAUUGUACCUCCCUCGUGAAAUCCCCUCGUGGGGAUCAAAACGUGAUAGUGCAUGUGCAAAGAGCUUUUAGAAAAGUGCCUGGGACAAAUUAAUGCUCAAUGCAUGUUAUUGUCAUUUUUAUUUCCUCUGUUCUUCCCAGUUCAAUAUACUAGAAGAUUCUUUGUUAGUCGUCAAGUUUUUCCCUUUGUUUUGCUGAAUUUUGCCUUGAACCUUUUUUGCACCAUUGGGUUUUAUCAUUUCACACUGAGCUCCUGGGAGGUAGGGAUGGGAGUGAGGGAUAUACAGAUAUAAAUACAGGAUUAUAUUUUCAAAUUUCUCUUCCACUCAGCAAUGUAAAAAUAGAGAAAUUUUUAUAGUGUUUCUUCACUCUUUAAAAAAAAAUACAUUAUAUUAUUUGAUGCUCUUUGUUCACUAAUGCUCGAAAGAUUUCAGCAGGGGGCUGUUGUCACGGGUGUAGCCUCAGGAGGGACUAGUGUUCAGGUCCCAAGUGAGCGUCACAGUAUUUCCUACUAGCGCAGUAGCAGGAAUUAAUUUUUCAGUUGUAGUUAGUUGAUACUUUGGGCCCUAGGGAGGGAGUGAACCACAGGAAAGAUACGUUUCAGCGAGGGGUGGGGAAGCAAGUGUGACUUCGGCCAGCCCUGAGUGGGCCCCCGCCAGGCUGGGCAGGCUAGGGCCUUGGCCCCCAUGGGAUAGGGGCAGGUACUGGUGCUUAAGACCAGCUUCAUUAGCCUCAGCUCGCCUCACCUGGCGGACAGAUCGCUAUCAACUGGGUUUUCUAACCAGCUAUAAAUAAAUUAGUUUCAGGUUGCCUCUACAUAGAAGGUUUGAAGCAGGUGAGUUUACUUUAAUUUAUAUUAGUAUUGGGGAAAAAUGGAGAGUAUUGAAAACAUCUUGAAAUUUAUAACACCACAAAUCAACAACCAAUAUUUAAGAAACAUCUGAGCGUGUGAUAUAGUGCAAACCAUGUAAAUGUUAAGUUGCAAAAUGUCCCUAAACAGCCCUCAGUAAUUAGGGAAUAUAACUUAUUUCCACAUGUAGUAUACUGAAUGUAGCCGAAUAUAGGUGAUAGUGUCGCACUGUAAAUCAUUAGUCCUUUUUCACUGUUGGCAUGACUGAUCUUUCCCAUCACAGAGCCCUGUGCACACAUGUAACGACAUGCGGGGCUCCGGACUCAGGUACCGUACUGGCUGUGUGACCUUGGGGAAGUUAGUUAAACUGUCUGCCUCAAUCUUCUCAUCUGUAAAACAGCAUAAUAAUGGUACCUACCUUAUUAGAGCUGUUGAGAGGAUUAAAUAAAAUAAUACAAGUAAAGCAGUUAACACAGGGGCUGACACAGACCACACAUUUAAAGAAUGUUAGCAGCAAAAUUACUUAUUGUGGUGAAAAGUCUGAUAAAAAAAGAAAGCAUAAUAUACAACUGGGCACUUUAAUUGUAACUGACCUGGAAUUUUUACAGUUUCCAGUGUAGAUAAUAUUGAAACAUAACUCUUGGCCUAUUGUAAACAUUGAAUUAGAAAUCUCCAGUCAGAGAAAGGCUAGAAUAUAUAUAUUUUAAUAAAGUCCCAUAAAUAUUAAAUUUGGGGGCAUUGAAAUUUGGGAAUCUCUGAUCCAGAGAGAGAAGUUAAAAUCAAUUUUCCACUAGAUGGCAUCAUCCAAUAUUUGAACUAACAUUUAUUCCUGCUUGUACUUUGCUUUCUGUGAUCACAAAGAUUUGCUUUUAUUUUGCCAGUUUGUUCCUUAAUUUGAUGACAUCUAUUUUAGGAACAAAACACAAAAAUUUUAUUAAUAAAUUGCAAUUGUAAUAAGUUCUUUAAAAUCAAGGGUCUGAUUGUAAAUAGACAAAAAGUAUAAAAAUAAGUAACAAAGAGAAAAUGCAGUGAUGAAUAAACAUUAAAAAAUUCAUCCUCAAUAGUAAAGUAAUGCAAGUUUCAAACAUCAGAGUUUCCAUUUCUCACCUACAAAAAUACUAAUUUUUUUAAAAAUGUAAUUCUUAAUAUUGCUCAUCAUUUAUUAAUUUAUUGAAUGUCCACUAUGUGGCAGGCACUGUCUGGAUUAGUCAGGGUUCUCCAGAGAAGCAGAAUUAAUCAGAUGUAUAUAUGGAAGGGAUUUAUUACAAGGAAUUCGCUCACAUGAUUAUGGAGGCUAAGAAGUUCCACAAUCUACCGUGUGCAAGCAGGAGACCCAGGAAAGCCGAGGGAAUAAAUCCAGUCUGAGUCCAAAGUCCUGAGGACCAGGGGAGCAGAUGAUGUAAAUCCCAGUCCAAGGGCAGGAGAAGACAGACAUCCCAGCUCAAGCCACAAGGCCUUGCUCAUCCCUUCUCCCGGUGCUGUGGAUUUGGCCCCGUGAAGGAUCUUGAAGCGUGCGGACCUGGCAGCGCUCCUCAGUAUCCCGGUUGCUUGCCUUUGGGGACUAGACAGCUCCUGCUCACGAAGGACUGCACCUGCGUCCAGGACUGGACGGGGAGGUCCUAGAAGGACAAACUUGGUGUGCAAAUUGGAGGGCUCAGAAGAGGAAAUUGGGACAGAGACACGUACAGAAAGAAGACGACAUGAAGAUGUAAGAAGAAGGCACCCAUCUAAAGCCAAGGAGAGAGGCCUCAGGAGAAACUAACCCUGCCAACACCUUGAUCUUGACUUCUAACCCCCAGAAUUGGAAGAAAAUACAUUUUUGUUGUUUAAGCCACUUGGUCUGUGGCGCUUUGUUGUGGCAGCCCUGGCACUUUAAUACAAUUGGGUUCCAAAUAUGUUCUUCCAAUUAGACACAUUCCAUUUAGAUAAUAUAGUACAGUGCCAAAGAAGAAAUCCUCCAAAAUAAUGGAAUUUGAUAAUGUAGUUUUCCUGAUAAUAUCAAUUAUACUCUACUAAGGAAAAAGCACUCAGAAAUUCAGGGCUGUGGUCCUUGUUCAGUUAGUGGCAAUUAAUGACAUAUAUGUGGCCUUAAGCCUUCUUCUAACUGAAAAUUGAUUUAUCAAUAUGCAAGACUGAUAUAAUUUCAGUUUUUUCUUUCAUAAAGCCUCCAAGUAAAGUUACAUAAAUGGGGAAAUUUUAAUCGUAAAUUCUACAUUCAAAAUAAAGUAGGUAAUUUGCUUCUGUUAUCUGAAAAAUUACAUUUUGGUGGUCCUUCUUCCUUGGAUAUCAGAUGCAGAAAGUGUGGGGCAAGACUAUAUAGGGAGAAAAAGAACAGGAAAAACAUCCACUGGAUUUUAAUUAAAACAUUAUUUGUUAAGUGAUGCACUUUACCAG